RNAcentral lists this ribosomal RNA (2820 nucleotides) under Triticum aestivum (bread wheat). Its description in RNAcentral is "partial small subunit ribosomal RNA". Lineage: Eukaryota; Viridiplantae; Streptophyta; Magnoliopsida; Poales; Poaceae. The record is from RNAcentral.
AUGGCGACGGAGCCGACAGAGGACAUCGAGUUCCUCUGGAAGUGGCGCAAGUACCUGCUGCUGCUCGCCACGCUGGUCGCUAGCGUCACCUACGUGGCCGGCCUCAACCCGCCGGGCGGCAUCAGGUCCGAGGAUGGAGGCAACGAGCCAGAGUACCGCGCCGGCGCCGUCCACCCGCAUCCGCCGGCACCGGCAGCCCCGGCGCCCGCGGUCUACCCGUUCCGCGUCGGCGAUCCAGUGCUCGUGCACACCUACUCGCGCCGGUACACCGCUUUCUUCUACUCCAACGCGACCGCCUUCGUCGCGUCGCUGGUGGUCAUCAUGUUCCUGCUGGACCGGCGCAUCAGCGGCAACCGCGUGGGCCUCACCGUGCUCCGCUCCGCCAUGCUGCUCGACCUGCUCGCGCUCAUGGCCGCCUUCGCCGCCGGGAGCUGCCGCAACGUGUUCGCCUCCAUCUACGUCUCCGCGCUCUUCGGCCUCGUCUUCGCCUACGUCGCCGUCCACGUCUACGCGGAAACGCGUGGGAAGAAAAUACCGGUGGACUCGUGUGCUUGGCGGAGCCCCGAGGAGGAGAAGCGCCUCAAGGAGCGCCGCAAGUUCCUCCUGCUGCUCGCCACCUUCGCCACGCCGCUGACGUACGGCGCGGGGCUGGCGCCGCCGGGAGGCUUCUGGAGCGAGACCAGGCCGGGGCAUCGCGCCGGCGCCCCGCUGCUGCACGACGGACCCUACAAGAUCCGCUACCACGCCUUCUUCUACGCCAACGCCAACUCCUUCGUCGCCUCCCUCGCCAUCAUCAUGCUCCUCGCCAGCUCCUACGCGCUGCCCGUGUGCGUCCUGGUGGAGCUGCUGGGCCUCAUGGCCGCGUACGCCGCCGGGAGCUGCCGGUGGAUCACCACCACCGUGUACAUCAUAUUCCUCGUCGGCGCCGUUUUCCUCUACAUUCUGCUGCAGGUGGUCAUCGCCGGGCACACCAAGGGCAUGUUCACGAAAUGCCGUCGACGCAUCUGCCGCAUACUGACCUGCGCCGACCUGCCGCCGCCAGACACGGAAAAGAACCAGCCGCCACCGGAGCCGGACACGCUGCCGGAGAAUGCUAUUGUUAAUGCCCCGCAAGAACAAGGAGGAGAAACGGGGACAUCCGACGCCGGCAUUGCCAAGCCUGGAGAGAAUGUGGAGGAGUCACGGUCGCUUCUGCUGCUGCUGGCGACGCUGGCCGCGACAGUGACCUACCAGGCAGGGCUGAGCCCGCCCGGCGGCGUCUGGCCGGAAGGGCGUCCGGGGCACACCGCGGGGAACCCAGUUCUCCAUGACAUGGACCCCAAGAGGUACAAGGCGUUCUACCACUGCAACACGGCGGCCUUCGUCGCGUCUCUGGUGGUCAUCGUCAUCGUCCAGAGCAAGGAGCUGAGCUCGGGCGCCGUAGUCAGGCGCGCCGCCCUCAACACGGUCAUGAUACUAGACUUGUUCGGCCUCAUGGGCGCCUAUGUUGCCGGGAGCUGCCGGGAUACCACCACCACCAUCUACGUCGCCGCCCUCGCCGUCGCCGUCUUCGUCUACUCCAUCGCCAAGGUCGUGGCGUUCUCGGCUAAGCGGCGCCAAAUCAAGCUGGUUCAAUGGGUGCAAAGCCUGUCCAUGAAGGUUGCUGGGUGCCUCAACCUUUCCCAGCCCGGGUCCGGGAAUCCUGACGACCUUGAGAGGAAGCGCAAGUUCUUGCUGCAGCUUGCCAUCCUCGCCGCCACCGUCACGUACCAGACCGGAUUGAACCCACCGGGUGGGUUUUGGACGAAGAGCAACGGGAACAAGUUGGUCACUGCCGGCGACCCAAUCCUCCUCGACUACUACGGGGUCAGGUUCUUCUAUUGCAACGCGACGGGGUUCAUGGCGUCCGUCGCCGUCAUUCUCCUCUUGGUGAACCAGACGCUGUCCAAGGGGGGCAUUCGGAGCAACGCCCUCCAUGUCUGCAUCAUGACCGGGCUGCUGGGCCUCAUGGGCGCAUAUGCUGCAGGCAGCUGCCGGAAACUGCGCACCUCCAUCUAUGUCUUUGCGCUCGUGGCCGCCGUGGUCGCCUUCCUCUUCCUGCAGAUCAUAAUUUACGUGUCCGCACACCGAGUCCGUUCGUCAGAGCUGCCAUGGGUUCCGAAGUGGUCCUUGUUCGAGACGCUGUCGACGGGGCCGGGCGGUGGCGGCCGCAAGAACAAAAGCAAGGAGAUCACCGCCGAAGAUAAACGGGAAAGCGAGAGGUACCUGAAGCGCAAGUACCUGAUGUUGCUCGGCAUCCUCGCGGCCAGCGUGACGUACCAGGCGGGUCUCGCGCCUCCCGGAGGCACGUGGGGUGACGACGACACCCCGUCGUUGUCCCCGUCGUCGUCCCCGUCGGCACACCCGCCCACCGUCGCCGGCAACCCGAUCCUGCUUGACUUCAACGCUGCACGGUACCAAGCAUUCUUCUACUGCAACGCGACUUCCUUUGUGGCCUCCGUCGUCGUCAUCCUGCUGCUGCUGCAGCGCACCGUGAAGAAGCAGCAGCCCGGCGCGCCGCUGCGGACGUUGCAGACCGCCGUGGUGCUGGACCUGCUCGGCCUGCUUGGCGCGUACGCCGUCGGCAGCUGCAGGGACUGGGAGACGUCUGCCUACGUCAUCGCGCUCGUAGCCGUCGUGGUCGUCUUCAUUGCGCUGCACGUGCUGUUGUCGUUCGACAUCGUGUUUAACAAGGCCAGGAAGCUACUGCCGAGGAAAUACUUUGGAGGUGGCAACGAUGUUGAGGCCCAGCCCAGGAAUCCCGAUCAGGCCAGCCGCCAUGACAGCAUGGAGAAUGCCUAG